UCAUACUAGUGAGACUUAAAAUCCUAAAAUCCUAAUCUUAAAUAUUCCCAGUCAUUGGUACAUUGAGUCGGGGAUCAAUGAUUACCGAAAAGAUUGGCAUGUCUUAUAUAUGCUCGAUGCAGAGGAUGAUUGAUCUCACAAUCAUUUGUGUGGAGACACUAAUACAAAGAUAUGGGUGCUCGUUAGAAGAAUGAGUUCACUGAAUUGACCUACAAAGAGAAAUCUUAUGAAGUCUUACUUACAUGUCAAAAGAUGAUUCUCUUAGUGGGAGUUGUGCAACUGAUCCUUUGACCUGAGAUCACCAUGGUAUCUUGUGCACAUGAACCUAUGUUUUGGUUUACACUCAUUCAUGACAAUAAGUU
This 362-nucleotide long non-coding RNA is filed under the name Phoenix dactylifera (date palm). RNAcentral describes it as "long non-coding RNA (PDAC_LNC021757)". Lineage: Eukaryota; Viridiplantae; Streptophyta; Magnoliopsida; Arecales; Arecaceae. The record is from RNAcentral.